RNAcentral lists this ribosomal RNA (630 nucleotides) under uncultured Alphaproteobacteria bacterium. RNAcentral describes it as "bacterial SSU rRNA". It matches the Rfam family "Bacterial small subunit ribosomal RNA", at positions 8 to 684 of the family's 1533-position model. Lineage: Bacteria; Pseudomonadati; Pseudomonadota; Alphaproteobacteria. The record is from RNAcentral.
AGAGUUUGAUCCUGGCUCAAAACGAACGCUGGCGGCAGGCCUAACACAUGCAAGUCGAGCGAGACCUUCGGGUCUAGCGGCGGACGGGUUAGUAACGCGUGGGAACGUGCCCUUUACUACGGAAUAGUCCCGGGAAACUGGGUUUAAUACCGUAUACGCCCUUCGGGGGAAAGAUUUAUCGGUAAAGGAUCGGCCCGCGUUAGAUUAGAUAGUUGGUGGGGUAAUGGCCUACCAAGUCUACGAUCUAUAGCUGGUUUGAGAGGAUGAUCAGCAACACUGGGACUGAGACACGGCCCAAACUCCUACGGGAGGCAGCAGUGGGGAAUCUUAGACAAUGGGCGCAAGCCUGAUCUAGCCAUGCCGCGUGAGUGACGAAGGCCUUAGGGUCGUAAAGCUCUUUCGCCAGGGAGGAUAAUGACAGUACCUGGUAAAGAAACCCCGGCUAACUCCGUGCCAGCAGCCGCGGUAAUACGGAGGGGGUUAGCGUUGUUCGGAAUUACUGGGCGUAAAGCGCACGUAGGCGGACUGGAAAGUUGGGGGUGAAAUCCCGGGGCUCAACCUCGGAACUGCCUCCAAAACUACUAGUCUAGAGUUCGAGAGAGGUGAGUGGAAUUCCGAGUGUAGAGGUGA